GACGAACGCUGGCGGCGUGCUUAACACAUGCAAGUCGAACGAAGAGCGAUGGAAGCUUGCUUCUAUCAAUCUUAGUGGCGAACGGGUGAGUAACGCGUAAUCAACCUGCCCUUCAGAGGGGGACAACAGUUGGAAACGACUGCUAAUACCGCAUACGAUCUAAUCUCGGCAUCGAGGAUAGAUGAAAGGUGGCCUCUACAUGUAAGCUAUCACUGAAGGAGGGGAUUGCGUCGGAUUAGCUAGUUGGAGGGGUAACGGCCCACCAAGGCGAGGAUCAGUAGCCGGUCUGAGAGGAUGCACGGCCACAUUGGGACUGAGACACGGCCCAGACUCCUACGGGAGGCAGCAGUGGGGAAUCUUCCGCAAUGGACGAAAGUCUGACGGAGCAACGCCGCGUGAGCGAUGACGGCCUUCGGGUUGUAAAGCUCUGUUAAUCGGGACGAAAGGCCUUCUUGCGAAUAGUGAGAAGGAUUGACGGUACCGGAAUAGAAAGCCACGGCUAACUACGUG
This 510-nucleotide ribosomal RNA is filed under the name uncultured bacterium. RNAcentral's name for it is "partial 16S ribosomal RNA". It matches the Rfam family "Bacterial small subunit ribosomal RNA", at positions 28 to 507 of the family's 1533-position model. The record is from RNAcentral.